Molecule: ribosomal RNA, 449 nt
Filed under: uncultured organism
Description: partial 16S ribosomal RNA
Rfam family: Bacterial small subunit ribosomal RNA
Source: RNAcentral
ACUCCUGCGGGAGGCAGCAGUGGGGAAUAUUGGACAAUGGGCGCAAGCCUGAUCCAGCCAUGCCGCGUGAGUGAUGAAGGCCCUAGGGUUGUAAAGCUCUUUCACCGGUGAAGAUAAUGACGGUAACCGGAGAAGAAGCCCCGGCUAACUUCGUGCCAGCAGCCGCGGUAAUACGAAGGGGGCUAGCGUUGUUCGGAUUUACUGGGCGUAAAGCGCACGUAGGCGGACUAUUAAGUCAGGGGUGAAAUCCCGGGGCUCAACCCCGGAACUGCCUUUGAUACUGGUAGUCUUGAGUUCGAGAGAGGUGAGUGGAAUUCCGAGUGUAGAGGUGAAAUUCGUAGAUAUUCGGAGGAACACCAGUGGCGAAGGCGGCUCACUGGCUCGAUACUGACGCUGAGGUGCGAAAGCGUGGGGAGCAAACAGGAUUAGAUACCCGGGUAGUCCCAUGA